CGUGUGAUGAACAAACUAUCGAAAUGCGUUUCAAUGAGACUCCAUUUAUAAGUUCAGACAAUACGACUGCAAUUAGUAUUAUGGAGACGAGUACGAGCAACGAUCGUAGCGGCAGUAGUGAAAGGGAUUAUCGAUGUAACUGAGGAAGGAUUAUUGAAACACAUUUCUAGAAAAACAAUGCACUUACAGCCACAAAGAAUUCAAGGGAAAUUUUUUAACAAAUUUUUGGAAAAUAAACUGAAAAACAAAUAAAAUCUCUACAAAUGUACAAGGAUAAAAGUAAACU
Long non-coding RNA from Lucilia cuprina (Australian sheep blowfly), 286 nucleotides. RefSeq lists it as uncharacterized. NCBI's taxonomy places the organism in Eukaryota, Metazoa, Arthropoda, Insecta, Diptera, Calliphoridae. The transcript has 2 exons. The record is from RefSeq and is a predicted model, not a curated record.